AGGUUGUAUGUCUAAAGAGAAACAGCCCAGAACAAGAGUUAAUAAGGUUCCAAAAUUAUUGUUAAGUGAAAAUAAGGUAGUGUUUAUCCAAGCCAACCAGGAAAUGGGCUUAGGAGCGGCCAUUUUUUAAAGACCUCGUAACAGAGCACUGGUUUUAUACAAUUUUGUAUGUAUUGUUAGAUGCACCUAAAAUUUAACGGAUCUAAAUAAUAUACCGAGACCUUGUCCAUAAAUAUUUAUAUGUAUAAGUUACAUAUAAUAUAUAUGGGGUAGCGGAACAUUGGGCAUAUCUCAGAUUUUUUCUUUUUAAGACUUAAGAUUAGAUUACUGAUACUAUGUAAUGCUGACAUGAGUAACGAUAAAGGGUUUAUACCCUCGCCUAAAGCUUAUGGAAUUUACUUAAAGUAACGGCCUCUUAGUUUAAAUUUGCUUUACUUUACUGGGUUAUUUAGCUCUAAUUAAAAACGUGAUAAAGUAAAGUUACCUAAUGGUAUAAACGAUGAGAAAAAUUUUUCUAGAAAAAAUUUUUUAGAAAAAAUCUAAGUUUUACGGAAAAUAAGAAUGGAUGCUUAUGGAAACACAUUGAACGCGUAAAGUUGAAAAGUGUAUUAAAGUUUUCUUUAAAGAAAAUAAAAAUAUUUAGUAGGUUUUGACUAAACACACUAUAUAAAUAAAAACAGCGUUUGUGUUAGUAUACUAGAGCUAAGGUACUUGUUAAAAUAGUAACUGGAACUAAGGUGCUAGUGUACUAACUAAAGUGACAAAUGCUCUGGAAAAACGUAAAACCACAUGCUUAAUUAGAGUAUAGACAAGGCGGACCGUCCCUUGUCUAUAAAAUGCUCUUACU
This 847-nucleotide ribosomal RNA is filed under the name Rhizocarpon geographicum. RNAcentral describes it as "partial large subunit ribosomal RNA". The stretch from base 1 to 277 matches the Rfam family "Bacterial large subunit ribosomal RNA", at positions 1001 to 1235 of the family's 2925-position model. The record is from RNAcentral. Lineage: Eukaryota; Fungi; Ascomycota; Lecanoromycetes; Rhizocarpales; Rhizocarpaceae.